This 541-nucleotide ribosomal RNA is filed under the name uncultured archaeon. RNAcentral describes it as "bacterial SSU rRNA". It matches the Rfam family "Bacterial small subunit ribosomal RNA", at positions 509 to 1050 of the family's 1533-position model. The record is from RNAcentral.
CAGCAGCCGCGGUAAUACGUAGGGGGCAAGCGUUGUCCGGAAUUACUGGGCGUAAAGGGUGCGCAGGCGGCCAUUUAAGUCAGGUGUGAAAUUCCACGGCUUAACCGUGGGGUUGCAUUUGAAACUGGGUGGCUUGAGUAUCGGAGAGGGUAGUGGAAUUCCCAGUGUAGCGGUGAAAUGCGUAGAUAUUGGGAGGAACACCAGUGGCGAAGGCGACUACCUGGACGAUCACUGACGCUGAGGCACGAAAGCUAGGGGAGCAAACAGGAUUAGAUACCCUGGUAGUCCUAGCUGUAAACGAUGGGUACUAGGUGUAGGGGGUUUCGAUACCUUCUGUGCCGGAGUUAACGCAAUAAGUACCCCGCCUGGGGAGUACGUGCGCAAGCAUGAAACUCAAAGGAAUUGACGGGGGCCCGCACAAGCGGUGGAGCAUGUGGUUUAAUUCGAAGCAACGCGAAGAACCUUACCAGGGCUUGACAUCCCUUGACCACCUCAGAGAUGAGGUCUCUCUUCGGAGCAAGGAGACAGGAGGUGCAUGGCC